UGAUGGAGGGGGAUAACUACUGGAAACGGUAGCUAAUACCGCAUAACGUCGCAAGACCAAAGUGGGGGACCUUCGGGCCUCAUGCCAUCAGAUGUGCCCAGAUGGGAUUAGCUGGUAGGUGGGGUAAUGGCUCACCUAGGCGACGAUCCCUAGCUGGUCUGAGAGGAUGACCAGCCACACUGGAACUGAGACACGGUCCAGACUCCUACGGGAGGCAGCAGUGGGGAAUAUUGCACAAUGG
This 241-nucleotide ribosomal RNA is filed under the name Klebsiella pneumoniae. RNAcentral describes it as "partial 16S ribosomal RNA". It matches the Rfam family "Bacterial small subunit ribosomal RNA", at positions 131 to 374 of the family's 1533-position model. The record is from RNAcentral. Lineage: Bacteria; Pseudomonadati; Pseudomonadota; Gammaproteobacteria; Enterobacterales; Enterobacteriaceae. RNAcentral also lists the same sequence under 1 other name.